UGAGGAAUAUUGGUCAAUGGACGGAAGUCUGAACCAGCCAAGUAGCGUGCAGGAUGACGGCCCUCCGGGUUGUAAACUGCUUUUAGUUGGGAAUAAAAAGAGGGACGUGUCCCUAAUUGUAUGUACCUUCAGAAAAAGGACCGGCUAAUUCCGUGCCAGCAGCCGCGGUAAUACGGAAGGUCCAGGCGUUAUCCGGAUUUAUUGGGUUUAAAGGGAGCGUAGGCGGAUUAUUAAGUCAGUGGUGAAAGACGGUGGCUCAACCAUCGUUAGCCAUUGAAACUGGUAGUCUUGAGUGCAGACAGGGAUGCUGGAACUCGUGGUGUAGCGGUGAAAUGCUUAGAUAUCACGAUGAACUCCGAUCGCGAAGGCAGGUGUCCGGGCUGCAACUGACGCUGAGGCUCGAAAGUGUGGGUAUCAAACAGG
This 423-nucleotide ribosomal RNA is filed under the name bacterium. Its description in RNAcentral is "partial 16S ribosomal RNA". It matches the Rfam family "Bacterial small subunit ribosomal RNA", at positions 355 to 776 of the family's 1533-position model. The record is from RNAcentral.